Molecule: ribosomal RNA, 459 nt
Filed under: uncultured bacterium
Lineage: Bacteria
Description: partial 16S ribosomal RNA
Rfam family: Bacterial small subunit ribosomal RNA
Source: RNAcentral
CCUACGGGUGGCAGCAGUGAGGAAUAUUGGUCAAUGGGCGGGAGCCUGAUUCAGCCAAGCCGCGUGAAGGAAGAAGGCGCCAAGCGCCGUAAACUUCUUUUGUCGGGGAACAAAGGGCGCCACGUGUGGCGUUGUGAGUGUACCCGAAGAAAAAGCAUCGGCUAACUCCGUGCCAGCAGCCGCGGUAAUACGGGGGAUGCGAGCUUUAUCCGGUUUUAUUGGGUUUAAGGGGUGCGAAGCGGGUCCGUAAAGUCACCGGUAAUAGCCCGGGGCUCAACCCCGGCGAGCCGUUGAAACUGGCGGACUAGAGACGGCGAGAGGUACGCGGAAUGCGCGGUGUAGCGGUGAAAUGCAUAGAUAUCGCGCAGAACUCCGAUGGCGAAGGCAGCGUACCGGCGCCGGACUGACGCUGAGGCACGAAAGCGUGGGUAUCGAACAGGAUUAGAUACCCCAGUAGUC